AAGAAAGUCAAAGUCAGGCGAACGCAGACUCAUCCAAAUAAACACCAUUUCCAUGGUUUUAAUAAGCAAAAUAGGAAACCAUUUUAAUAACCAAAAAACAGAAACCAGUCUGAAUAAAACUACAAUAGACUAGGUUUUAAUAUUUUCAUAUCAUAAGCAGGGUUUGAAAUUGAUCCCUUAUUUUACAUGAAAUAAAAACAAAUUUCUGUUGCAGCAAAUUUGAUUUCAACACAGUUGAAUCCGUAAAAACCGAAGCUCGUUUCUGAUGCAGGACAAAUAUCCACAAUAUUUAAAACUGCAAGCACCAUGCGGUUCAUACAAUCUUGUUAUUACUGUUAAUUUAUCAACUAAUACAAACUCAAAAAUGCAUCUGGCCAGCAGCGCCAGCAAUUUCAAAUGGGAACUAAAAAAUACGCUUUCAUUUUGGUAUUUUUGUCAGUGCAACUUAAAUCCUUUUACUGACCUGCAGGAAAAAAAAAAAAGGA
This 485-nucleotide long non-coding RNA is filed under the name Mustela putorius furo (domestic ferret). RNAcentral describes it as "lncRNA (ENSMPUG00000026060.1)". The record is from RNAcentral. Lineage: Eukaryota; Metazoa; Chordata; Mammalia; Carnivora; Mustelidae.